This 2520-nucleotide ribosomal RNA is filed under the name Triticum aestivum (bread wheat). RNAcentral's name for it is "partial small subunit ribosomal RNA". Lineage: Eukaryota; Viridiplantae; Streptophyta; Magnoliopsida; Poales; Poaceae. The record is from RNAcentral.
AUGGAUUCGCUGGCUUUGGGCUGCUGCACCGCGGCCUUCAUCAUUCUGUUCCUGCCUUUGAGCGCUUCCGAUGAUCGGCUUGUCCCUGGCAAGCCGUUGGCCCUCGGCAACACCAUCGUUUCUGACGACGGCGUGCUCGCCUUGGGCUUCUUCAACCCCUCCAACUCCACUCCAGCCAAGCUGUACCUUGGCAUAUGGUACAACAAUAUCCCUGAGCUCACAGUUGUGUGGGUUGCCAACCGUGAAACCCCAAUCACCAACAGCUCUUCCUAUGCACUUAUGCUCUCUCUCACCAACGCCCUCAAUCUCAUUAUCUUGGAAGGUAAUAAUGGUGGUCGUGUCCUUUGGACGACGGCCAACGUGACCACUUCCCCGGCAGGAUCGUCUACCCCGACGGCAGUGCUUCUGAACAGUGGCAACCUCGUCAUCCGGUCGUCAAAUGGCUCCACAGUGUGGCAGAGCUUCGAUCACCAGACAGACACGCUCCUCCCAGGGAUGAAGAUCCGGAUCAAAUACAACACGGGCGGUACUGGCGAUCGUCUGGUAUCGUGGAAGGGCCCCGGAGACCCCUCACCGGGGCGCUUCUCCUAUGGUGUUGACUCGGACACGCCCCUCGAAGCAUUCCUAUGGGAUGGGGGGAUCGUGGUAUCCCGUAGUUCCCCAUGGACGGGGUACCACGUGAAGAGCUUUAAGCAACAACAACUAGAGGUGGCCAUGAACGGGAGUGAUGUUAUCAUGUAUGUAUCGUUCGUCGACAACGGCGAUGAGAUCUAUGCCACAUAUAGCCUCUCUAACGGCGCCCCGCCCGUAAGGUCAGUGUUGAAAUAUUCUGGUCAGUAUCAAACUGAGAUCUGGAGUAGCAACUUGUCGGUGUGGGUAGUUCUAAUGAAGUGGCCAUCUGCUGAAUGCAAUCUCUAUGGUUAUUGUGGCCCAUAUGGCUACUGCGACGAGACAGUGGCACCAAUCCCAACUUGCAAGUGCCUAGACGGCUUCGAGCCAUCAAACAAGGAGGAGUGGACCCGUGGCAAGUUCUUGGCGGGGUGCCGGCAGAAGGAUCUGUUGCAAGGGUGCAGCGAUAGCUUCUUGGCCUUGUCGAGGAUGAAGUCACCAGACAAAUUUAUGCACGUCGGAGGGGGCAGAAGUACAUCUGAGGAGUGUGCGGCAGAGUGCAGACGCAACUGCUCCUGUGUGGGGUACGUGUAUCGCAAUGUCAGUAGCGGUGGGUUCAGAAGAGACGCGACGAUGUGCUUGGUGUGGGCUGGGGAUUUGAUUGACACCGGAAAGAUAGGCACAGAAAUCGGUGGAGAGACACUCUAUCUCCGACUUGCAGCUAAAAGAAGAAAGAGCUAUGCAAUCAGGAUUGUGCUCCCAGUUCUAAGCAGUGGUUUUCUCGUACUCAUCUGCAUAUCGGUUGUCUGGUUAAAAUGCAAAGGCAAGAACAAAAAAUGGAGAAUGCACAAGAAUAUAAGGUUGGGUGGUAUGAGUGCCUCUAAUGAAACCAGGGAAGACAACCCUCCUCAUGAUCAAGAUUUUCCAUUCGUAAGAUUAGAAGAAAUUGUCCUCGCAACCCACAAUUUCUCUGAAGCAUGUAAGAUUGGACAAGGAGGAUUUGGCAAAGUCUACAAGGGACUAUUAGGUGGUCAAGAAGUCGCAGUCAAGAGGCUAAGUAAAGAUUCUCAACAAGGAACAAAAGAAUUCAAGAACGAAGUAAUUUUAAUUGCAAAAUUGCAACAUCGAAACUUGGUUCGACUUCUUGGUUGUUGUGGUGAAGGAGAUGAAAAGCUCUUGAUAUAUGAGUAUCUGCCUAAUAAAAGCUUAGAUGCUACCCUUUUUGAUGACUCAAGAAAAUUGUUGUUAGAUUGGACAACACGGUUUAAUAUAAUCAAAGGGGUAGCAAGGGGGCUAUUGUAUCUUCAUGAAGACUCAAGGUUCACAAUAAUUCAUAGGGACCUGAAAGCUGGGAAUAUUUUGUUGGAUGCACAUAUGAAACCCAAGAUAGCUGAUUUUGGUAUGGCGAGGAUCUUUGGUGAUAACCAGCAAAAUGCAAAUACUCAACGCGUAGUUGGAACAUAUGGCUACAUGGCUCCUGAGUAUGCAAUGGAAGGUGUCUUCUCUACCAAAUCUGAUGUCUACAGCUUUGGGGUGUUACUACUAGAGGUUGUAACUGGUAUAAGGAGAAAUUCUGAUUGUGAAACCAUGGGAUUUCCUAGCCUCACAGUCUAUUCAUGGAAUAAGUGGAACGAAGAGAAGACUGAGGAACUGCCAGACUCAUCUAUCAUAGAUACUUCACCAGACGAAGUUUUGCUUUGCGUCCAUGUUGCACUCCUAUGCAUCCAGGAGAACCCAAAUGAUAGGCCAUGCAUGUCAUCUGUUGUGUUCGUGCUAGAGAAUGGAAGCACCACACUUACAACCCCCAAUUGUCCUGCCUACUUUGCGCGACGAAGUGCUGAACUGGAUCAAAUAAGAAAUAUUCAGACUUCUGUCAACAGUUAUACUUUUACCGAGAUAGAGGGGCGAUGA